CCUACGGGUGGCUGCAGUGGGGAAUAUUGGACAAUGGGGGCAACCCUGAUCCAGCCAUGCCGCGUGUGUGAAGAAGGCCCUCGGGUUGUAAAGCACUUUCAGUGAGGAAGAACGCCUGGUGGUUAAUACCCAUCAGGAAAGACAUCACUCACAGAAGAAGCACCGGCUAACUCCGUGCCAGCAGCCGCGGUAAUACGGAGGGUGCGAGCGUUAAUCGGAAUUACUGGGCGUAAAGCGCGCGUAGGUGGCUUGAUAAGCCGGUUGUGAAAGCCCCGGGCUCAACCUGGGAACGGCAUCCGGAGCUGUCAAGCUAGAGUGCAGGAGAGGAAGGUAGAAUUCCCGGUGUAGCGGUGAAAUGCGUAGAGAUCGGGAGGAAUACCAGUGGCGAAGGCGGCCUUCUGGACUGACACUGACACUGAGGUGCGAAAGCGUGGGUAGCAAACAGGCUUAGAUACCCUGGUAGUC
Molecule: ribosomal RNA, 465 nt
Filed under: Vreelandella stevensii
Lineage: Bacteria; Pseudomonadati; Pseudomonadota; Gammaproteobacteria; Oceanospirillales; Halomonadaceae
Description: partial 16S ribosomal RNA
Rfam family: Bacterial small subunit ribosomal RNA
Source: RNAcentral